GAUGAAGAACGUAGCGAAAUGCGAUAAGUAAUGUGAAUUGCAGAAUUCAGUGAAUCAUCGAAUCUUUGAACGCACAUUGCGCCCGCCAGUAUUCUGGCGGGCAUGCCUGUCUGAGCGUCAUUUCAACCCUCAUGCCCCUAGGGCGUGGUGUUGGGGAUCGGCCAAAGCCCGCGAGGGACGGCCGGCCCCUAAAUCUAGUGGCGGACCCGUCGUGGCCUCCUCUGCGAAGUAGUGAUAUUCCGCAUCGGAGAGCGAUGAGCCCCUGCCGUUAAACCCCCAUCUUUCCAAGGUUGACCUCAGAUCAGGUAGGAAUACCCGCUGAACUUAAGCAUAUCAAUAAGCGGAGGA
RNAcentral lists this unclassified non-coding RNA (348 nucleotides) under soil metagenome. RNAcentral describes it as "partial contains 5.8S ribosomal RNA, internal transcribed spacer 2, and large subunit ribosomal RNA". The stretch from base 1 to 120 matches the Rfam family "5.8S ribosomal RNA", at positions 35 to 154 of the family's 154-position model. The record is from RNAcentral.